RNAcentral lists this ribosomal RNA (253 nucleotides) under uncultured bacterium. RNAcentral describes it as "partial 16S ribosomal RNA". It matches the Rfam family "Bacterial small subunit ribosomal RNA", at positions 524 to 776 of the family's 1533-position model. The record is from RNAcentral.
UACGGAGGGAGCUAGCGUUGUUCGGAAUUACUGGGCGUAAAGCGCACGUAGGCGGCUUUGUAAGUUAGAGGUGAAAGCCCGGGGCUCAACUCCGGAACUGCCUUUAAGACUGCAUCGCUUGAAUCCAGGAGAGGUGAGUGGAAUUCCGAGUGUAGAGGUGAAAUUCGUAGAGAUGUGGAGGAACACCGAUGGCGAAGGCAGCCUCCUGGGCCAGCACUGACGCUCAGGCACGAAAGCAUGGGGAGCAAAAGGG